UUGACAUCCAGCGAACUUUCCAGAGAUGGAUUGGUGCCUUCGGGAACGCUGAGACAGGUGCUGCAUGGCUGUCGUCAGCUCGUGUUGUGAAAUGUUGGGUUAAGUCCCGNAACGAGCGCAACCCUUAUCCUUUGUUGCCAGCGAUUCGGUCGGGAACUCAAAGGAGACUGCCGGUGAUAAACCGGAGGAAGGUGGGGAUGACGUCAAGUCAUCAUGGCCCUUACGAGUAGGGCUACACACGUGCUACAAUGGCGCAUACAAAGAGAAGCGACCUCGCGAGAGCAAGCGGACCUCAUAAAGUGCGUCGUAGUCCGGAUCGGAGUCUGCAACUCGACUCCGUGAAGUCGGAAUCGCUAGUAAUCGUGGAUCAGAAUGCCACGGUGAAUACGUUCCCGGGCCUUGUACACACCGCCCGUCACACCAUGGGAGUGGGUUGCAAAAGAAGUAGGUAGCUUAACCUUCGGGAGGGCGCUUACCACUUUGUGAUUCAUGACUGGGGUGAAGUCGUAACAAGGUAGGCGUAGCGAG
Molecule: ribosomal RNA, 528 nt
Filed under: uncultured bacterium
Lineage: Bacteria
Description: bacterial SSU rRNA
Rfam family: Bacterial small subunit ribosomal RNA
Source: RNAcentral